AGCAGUCGCCACGGUAAUACGUAGGGUGCAAGCGUUAAUCGGAAUUACUGGGCGUAAAGCGUGCGUAGGUGGUGGUUUAAGUCCGUUGUGAAAGCCCUGGGCUCAACCUGGGAAUUGCAGUGGAUACUGGGUCACUAGAGUGUGGUAGAGGAUAGUGGAAUUUCCGGUGUAGCAGUGAAAUGCGUAGAGAUCGGAAGGAACAUCUGUGGCGAAGGCGACUAUCUGGGCCAACACUGACACUGAGGCACGAAAGCGUGGGGAGCAAACAGGAUUAGAUACCCCAGUAGUCCCUGUCUCUUAUAC
Molecule: ribosomal RNA, 303 nt
Filed under: uncultured bacterium
Lineage: Bacteria
Description: partial 16S ribosomal RNA
Rfam family: Bacterial small subunit ribosomal RNA
Source: RNAcentral